AGGUCGGAAGGUCUGCGGUCGGAUAGUCAGGUCGGUUGGUUAGCGGGUCAGAUGGUCCAUAGGUCGGAAGGUCUGCGGUCGGAUAGUCAGGUCGGUUGGUUAGCGGAUCGGAUGGUCCAUAGGUCGGAAGGUCUGCGGUCGGAUAGUCAGGUCGGUUGGUUAGCGGGUCGGAUGGUCCAUAGGUCGGAAGGUCUGCGGUCGGAUAGUCAGGUCGGUUGGUUAGCGGGUCGGAUGGUCUAUAGGUCGGAAAGUCUGCAAGUCGGCUGCUACGGAGGUUGGGCGAAGUAAGGUCUGG
Molecule: long non-coding RNA, 295 nt
Organism: Andrographis paniculata
Lineage: Eukaryota; Viridiplantae; Streptophyta; Magnoliopsida; Lamiales; Acanthaceae
Exons: 4
Source: RefSeq, a predicted model, not a curated record